AUCAAUUUUGUUUUUAGAUUCAAGAGUUUAGAAAGUGUUUUUACAUUAUUUUUAAGGUUUUUGAAUGAGCAAAAUAAUUUUUAUAAACUUGCUUCAAAAACUCAAAAUUUCAAAUUUUAAGUCAGAUAAUAGCUAAAUUAAUUAACUGGUUUUGUUGGCUAAAUUUUUCUUCGUUGGCUAAAAUUUUCUAUUUUACGAAAUUAGUUAACUAUUUUCAUGCUCUGACCUGACAUAACUCUGCUGCACGACUUUCAAAUAGGUAAAAGCUAGUUUUUUGAAAAUUAAAGAGCCGUU
RNAcentral lists this unclassified non-coding RNA (294 nucleotides) under Hevea brasiliensis (rubber tree). Lineage: Eukaryota; Viridiplantae; Streptophyta; Magnoliopsida; Malpighiales; Euphorbiaceae. The record is from RNAcentral.